Molecule: unclassified non-coding RNA, 334 nt
Filed under: soil metagenome
Description: partial contains 5.8S ribosomal RNA, internal transcribed spacer 2, and large subunit ribosomal RNA
Rfam family: 5.8S ribosomal RNA (bases 1-121)
Source: RNAcentral
GAUGAAGAACGCAGCGAAAUGCGAUAAGUAAUGCGAAUUGCAGAAUUUCCGUGAGUCAUCGAAUCUUUGAACGCACAUUGCGCCCCUCGGUAUUCCGUGGGGCAUGCCUGUUCGAGCGUCAUUUACCCCUCAAGCACUGCUUGGUGUUGGGCGUCUGUCCCGCUUCGCGCGCGGACUCGCCCCAAAGGUAUUGGCAGCGGUCGUGCCAGCUUCUCGCGCAGCACAUUGCGCUUCUCGAGGCGGUCGAUCGGCGUCCACGAAGCUCACCUCCACCGUUUGACCUCGGAUCAGGUAGGGAUACCCGCUGAACUUAAGCAUAUCAAUAAGCGGAGGA